Molecule: transfer RNA, 72 nt
Organism: Camelus ferus (Wild Bactrian camel)
Lineage: Eukaryota; Metazoa; Chordata; Mammalia; Artiodactyla; Camelidae
Rfam family: tRNA
About the family: Transfer RNA (tRNA) molecules are approximately 80 nucleotides in length. Their secondary structure includes four short double-helical elements and three loops (D, anti-codon, and T loops). Further hydrogen bonds mediate the characteristic L-shaped molecular structure. tRNAs have two regions of fundamental functional importance: the anti-codon, which is responsible for specific mRNA codon recognition, and the 3' end, to which the tRNAs corresponding amino acid is attached (by aminoacyl-tRNA synthetases). tRNAs cope with the degeneracy of the genetic code in two manners: having more than one tRNA (with a specific anti-codon) for a particular amino acid; and 'wobble' base-pairing, i.e. permitting non-standard base-pairing at the 3rd anti-codon position.
Source: Rfam
CAGGGUAUAGCUCAGUGGUAGAUUGCAUGCUUAGCAUGUGCGAGGUUCUGGGUUCAAUCCCCAGUACCUUCA